AGAAAAAUGAGUAUUGGGCUGAUAGAUAUUGAUUAAUGUGAAAACUACGGCCACGCCUAUUUUUAUAUCUUUCUAUUAUUAUAAAAUUUACGGGCGCGAAAUUUCGUGACCAGCCCCAUUCUGACAAAGAAAAUUAUUCUAAAACCCGUAACUUAUAAAAUUGUGUUAUCGGUGUGAGAACCAAGUCUCGAUAGAAACCGUAACAGAUCUUCACGAUAUCAUUCUGUUUUGAGUGCAAAAAUGGAUUCGUCGUUUCAAUCCCAUCUGCUCCUGCAGCUCCACCAACUCCUCCUUAUCUUUAAAUCGAAGCCAUGAUUCAUCUUUCAGUAAUCAAUUUCUUCAAAUACUUCGAUUAAUGGCUCAAGCCGCUCGUGUUGAUGAUUAUCCUUCUCUUUCACCGCCACAACAACCGCCAUUAACAACCCGGCCGACAACAACAACCACAGAUCCAGUAGCAGAUCCGUAUGAAACUGAUGAUUUCCUUCGUAUCGAACUUGAUGGAUGGGAAGAUGACGAAGGAGAUGAGGAAAUUGAAUUUGGUAACACGGUCAGAAUUUUAGAGUUUGUGGUGGUGGACAUACAUACAUCACAGAAUUUUUUUUGUUACCUUGAGAUCACAAAACUCUGGAAAUUCGAGUCAGUGAACAGACGCCUGCAAGUAUUAAUUUACAUGGUGAGGAAAAUGGAAGAUAAGAAGAAUGCACUACCGGUUCAUGAAACCAAAUCCAGUGGAAUCGAAGAAUUAGCAAGUCUAAAAUAUCUUCAUGUGUUAGAAAUUACCCAUUUGGAAAAUUUGAAAGAUUUCGAAACAACAUAGUUCUGUUAUAGUCAGAUCUUCUGUGGCAAACAUGUUUGGCCUCUAUGAGAUUCUUGGUAAUCCAAGUGGUUCAAGCUGGGAGAUGAUUGGUGAUCCUAGUGCUCCAAUCUGGAAGAUGCUUGGUGAUCCAAGUGGUUCAAGAAGGAAGCAAUUCCAGCAACCUCGUCUCAUCACCGAACUAACCGUGGGAUUAGUAGUAGAAAAUCUGGGCUUCAUGACUCAAUUACUGGGGAUAUGAUUCCACAAUUGGUUAGUUCAUUUGCAAAAAUGGGUAUGAGUUGUUACUUAUUAGUUUUAGGCUCAGAAAUGGAUCUGGUGUUAUUUUAGGCCUCUAUUAUAAUAGAAUAUAUCUUAGAAAUGGAUCUGGUGUAUAUAAUUACUAGGUUGACUAUAACAGAAUGUAUUUUCUUAGAAUAUUCUUAGAAUUCCUUGGUAGUGAUUUCAAUGGAGAGAGCUUCUAUUAUCGGUACAAGGCAGGGAAGUGGUUGCUGUAGCCGGAAGGAGUGACCUGAAUUGCUGCACGUGUUUGAAAGAGAUGGUGUGAACUGGAGUUCGAUCAUUGGCUGUGCAAGAAAAGAAGAUAUUGCAUCUGGUGGUAUUUGUUGCUGACUCAGUCCAUAAUGGAAGGACACACAACAACAUGUUGAUGAAGAUGUUGUUGUGGCUCGAGUGCUAUGUACAGGGAAGACGAGUUACUGCUGAUGUCAUUGCAGUAUGACUGUUCUCACUAGAGUAAAGUGGUGAUUGUUAUGCAUGUGAAACACGGAUUACUGUUGUGCAAUACAGAAAGAAAAGCAAAUAAUAUGUUAUGCA
Molecule: long non-coding RNA, 1630 nt
Organism: Papaver somniferum (opium poppy)
Lineage: Eukaryota; Viridiplantae; Streptophyta; Magnoliopsida; Ranunculales; Papaveraceae
Exons: 2
Source: RefSeq, a predicted model, not a curated record